AGCUCCAAUAGCGUAUAUUUAAGUUGUUGCAGUUAAAAAGCUCGUAGUUGGAUUUCGGGCCUGGGCGACCGGUCCGCCGUUUCGGUGUGCACUGGUUGGCUUGGUCUUUCUGCCGGGGACGCGUUCCGGACUUAAUUGGCCGGACGCGGAGUCGGCGAUGUUACUUUGAAAAAAUUAGAGUGUUCAAAGCAGGCUUACGCUCUGAAUACUAUAGCAUGGAAUAACACGAUAGGACUCCGAGCCUAUUUUGUUGGUCUUCGGGACCGGAGUAAUGAUUAAGAGGGACAGUUGGGGGCAUUCGUAUUUCGGUGUCAGAGGUGAAAUUCUUGGAUUUCCGAAAGACGAACUUCUGCGAAAGCAUUUGCCAAGGAUGUUUUCAUUAAUCAAGAACGAAAGUACG
Molecule: ribosomal RNA, 400 nt
Filed under: phytoplankton environmental sample
Lineage: Eukaryota
Description: partial small subunit ribosomal RNA
Rfam family: Eukaryotic small subunit ribosomal RNA
Source: RNAcentral